GUGCUUGCUUUGGCAGCACAUAUACUAAAAUUGGAAUGAUACAGAGAUCAGCACUGCCCCUGCUCAAGGAUGACAUGCGUAUUUGUGAAGAGUUCCAGUUUUUU
This 104-nucleotide small nuclear RNA is filed under the name Moschus moschiferus (Siberian musk deer). The record is from RNAcentral. Lineage: Eukaryota; Metazoa; Chordata; Mammalia; Artiodactyla; Moschidae.